Molecule: long non-coding RNA, 1072 nt
Organism: Corvus hawaiiensis (hawaiian crow)
Lineage: Eukaryota; Metazoa; Chordata; Aves; Passeriformes; Corvidae
Exons: 2
Source: RefSeq, a predicted model, not a curated record
CUCAUGGCUCCUCUUUUUCAUGCUCUGAUACUAUGUUUUUUCUCAUAAAGGGUGGUUAUUGAGCUAUCUCACGAAGUAUGACUCAAGUGACAUCUCUACUGAUCUCAUCAAAGUCUUUUCCAGAGGCUUCAAGGAAAGAUGGAGAGAUAAGGACUUGGUAAUGUUGAGAUCUGGAACACAUUAAAAAACAGGAUGCAGUGCUUCUUAGGCUUCUGCCCAGGCUCUCAGGAAUAAUGCAAGCAGCACAAAUCUCCUCACAGCUGCCUGAACAGCCAGCUCUUGCAGCAACAUGAACUGAUGUGCAGCCACGAUGCCCGGCUUGCAGGUGACAGAACAUCUUGGGCAGGACGUGGGGCACGGCACUGUCUCACUGGAUAGAGGAGAGGGAGCUGCUGCUCAUGGAGCACCUUUCAGUCAGCGUGAGUAAAAGCACACUUGAUUCUCAGCCAGCGCUGUCUACACAUCAGACAUUCAGCUGUUCCAUGAAGUUUGAUUUUUGGAGACGAUUUUUUGUAACUGAGUUGUUACCAUGCUGUCAAUUUAACUAUGUAACACACUGCAGGCAGACUAUGACUUUCCUCUAAGGAGUUCUGUGUGGAUUCCAAAACUCAGAAAAGGAUUGCUGCAGUUCCCACUCUCCUGAAACCAUCGUGGAAACUACUGCUUUGGGCUAUCUCACCAUUUUUACCUUGGCUGAAAUUUAACAGAUAUAAUAUGACUGCUAGUAUUGACAAAAAAAAAAAAACAAACAAAACUCUCCUACUAUUUUGCCUUGGACUUUCAGGGCCAAAGUAUUUAAAGGCCUGAAACUUUGGUUUGGGUUAUGUAUUUGUCAGGUCGAAGUUACUGCAACAACUACUUGUUUAGAAACCUGUCACUUAAAUGGAAGUGCUUGGUUUGUACCUUAUGUAUGACUGUUGCUGGUAAUAUGUAAAUGAUGUCUAGGACAUUUAAGGAAGCAUGCUCUUAAUAAACAGAAAAACAUACUGUUAAUAAACAGAAUGUGAAGAAACAGCUUGUACACACAAACAAGGACUAAUGUAGCCCACGAUGCAAUAAAUCUAUGACAGGA